This is a long non-coding RNA of Eubalaena glacialis (North Atlantic right whale), 5216 nucleotides long. RefSeq lists it as uncharacterized. The transcript has 3 exons. Lineage: Eukaryota; Metazoa; Chordata; Mammalia; Artiodactyla; Balaenidae. The record is from RefSeq and is a predicted model, not a curated record.
CCCUCGUCCGGGAACUGGGGAAGGGGGUCCUGGCUGUGCUUCUCUGGGACAGUCGGCCUUCCAUCGGCCUCGGAGCCCCAUUUUUUGUGUGUUUGUUUCAUGCAGAUCCGCUCUCACUUAAUUCUCCUUCGUUCCCCGCCCCUCCCCUCCCCUCCCCCAGGAAUGAGGACGCAGCGGGAUUUCUACGUUCGCCUCUUUGACUCCAUGACAAAACAAGCCAUAGUAUGCUGAAGGCCAAGACAAGAACCCAGAAAUGUGCCGAGUCUUGCUCACACACGAAAUCAUGUGCAGUCUUAGGUUUACAACUACAGGUUGACCAGUCUGCCAGGAUUUUGCCCAUUGGCUAUCAGAUGGAACUGAAGAAGAAGCACUUCCUAUGUUUGAACCAUAGAACACUCAUACACGGACUAAGAACAAAACAAAAUCCUCACCACUAAUGGAAGCCUCAAACCAAAGGAACCAAAAAUCAAACAGAAACCAAAAACCAAACAGCACAAGACUCAAAUCAGCUUCCAAGUCUCAACUUAGCCUGUGACCUCUGUCCAAGUGGUGCACCUUCCAAAUGAGAUUUCCUGGAAUGAAAAGUCACCCAAAUGGGAACCAAGGUUCCCCCAAAUGUACAGGGCUAAAAGGACCUCACAGUGCAUGCCAGGGGAGUUACCACAUGCUGGCUGAGGUAUCGCAACACCCCAAAUGCUACUUUUCUGCUUCCCCAAAAUAAUCCCUUGGAGUAGGACAUUUGGGGCAGUCCAGACAGGAGGAAGAGAGGAACAUCCUCAAGGCAAAGAUGGCCUUGGCAGUUGCUAGGGUGGUCCCUCUUCCGCCAUCUACUCCUGCCCCAGAGUUCCAACUGCUGGGAUGGCAGAUGGGGUAUGACUGAGGCUUGGCCUUUCCAGGCAAGGGUCCCAGGCAGUCUGGCCUCUAAAGGAAUUCUCCAACCCUACACUCUCUCAAAACAGGCUGGCAUGGAGAAAAUCAUAGAGUGUCCAAUCAAGUCAGGGGACCCACAGGGGCCAUCCCCAAGUCAGCCCCAUAUUGGGUACUAAAUUUGAUGCCAAAAACUCGACCUCUGUGCACCAGUGCCGAAUCGAAUCUCAGAGACAGAGGUUUGGAAGAAGUAGAAAAGAAUAGCUUUACUGCUUUGACAGCCAAAGGGGGACACAGAAAACUUGUGCCCUCAAAAACUGUGUGUCCCAAUGCAGGAGGAUCUGGUGAGGAGUUUUACGGCAAUGGUUUAAGGACACAGUUGCUCCUAAGGAUUAGUGUGUGUACAGGGCCUUAACUCUCUUUAAUCUGGCCUCAGAUGGUCUCUUGAUGAGCUUCUCUGGAAUGAAGAAUGCUAAAAUCUUCUAUUUUGUGGGGGUUUUGGUUUGGUAAAGAACCCAAAGAUACUCUUACGUACAUCCCUUUAAGGCCCUGAGGCUGUCCUUAACAAAGGCCCUCAACUUAUCUUUAACUGAGGCCCUGACGCUCUCCCUAACUAAAGACUGAGGCUGUCUCUAACUAAGGCCCUGAGUCUGUCUUUAACUAAUGGCCUCACUCUUUCCCUAACUAAGGCCCUGACACAGUCCCUAACUAAGGCCCCUAAUAACAUGAGCUGUCCCUCAUUAAUGCCCUGAUGCGGCCCAUAACUGAUGUACUGAAGAUGGCACUAAGGUCCUGACCAUGUCACUAAUGACCCAAAAUGUCUCUUACUAAGGCCCUCAAGUGACCUCUAACUGAGGCCCUAAAGAUGUCCAUAACUAAGUCCCUGACACUAUCUCUAACUAAGACCCUCAAGUUAUCUUUAACUGAAGCCAUGACAAUGUCCCUAACAAAGGACUUGAUGCUGUCUCUAAGGCCCUGAGUCUGUCUUUACCUAAUGGCCUCACUCUUUCCCUAACUACGCCCUGACGCUGCCCCUAACCAAGGCCCUGAUGGUGUGCCUAAUUGCCUGAGCUGUCUUUCACUAAUACCCUGACCCUGUCCAUAACUAAUGCCCUGAUUAUGUCCCUAACGAACAGCCUGAAGUGUCUCUUACUAAGGUCCUCAAGUUUUCUCUGAGGCCCUGACACUCUCCCUAAUUAAGGCCUUGACACUGUCUUUAAGUAAUGGCCUAAUGCAGUUCCUACCUGAGAUGCUGAUGCUCUCACUAACUAAGGCCUUGAAGUCUGUACCUGAGAAGCUGACACUGUCUGUAACUAACUUCCUGACUCUUUCCUUAACUAACAUCCUAAUUUUGUCCCUAAAUAACACCUUGACACUGGUCCUAACUACGGCCCUGAUGCUGACCCUAUCUAAGGCUCUGACAAUGUCCCUAAUAGACUUGGAUGUCCCUCACUGUGGUCCUGAUCCUGUCCAAUACUAAGGCCCUGAAUAUGUGCCUAAGUAAGUCUCUGACCCUGUCCUAAGGCCCUGACGCUCUUCCUAACUAAGGGCCUUGAUGCUGUCUCUACAGAAGACCCUGACACUGCCCCUAAAUAACGGCCUGACACUGGUCCCAAGUAUGGACCUGAUCCUGUAAGGCCCUGAAGAUGUCCCUCAUUAAGUCUCUGACACUGCCCUUAAUAAGCCCACGACACUGUCCCUAGCUAACGGCCUAAGCUAUAACUUACAAAGUCCCUAACACUAUCCCCAAGACCCUGACACCCUCCCUAACUUAGACUUUGAUGCUGUCCCUUAGUACCUAAGCGGUCACAAAAUAACACCCUGAUUCUAUUACUAAGGCCCUGAAUAUAUCCCUAAGAAAGUCUCUGAAGUGUUCCUAACUAACGGCCUGAAAUGUCUCUUACUAAGGCCCCUAAGUUAUCUCUGAGGUCCUGACAACACUGUCCCUAACUAAGGCCCUGUUGCUGGCCCUAACUAACGUCCUGAUGCUGAACCUAAGGAGGCCCUGAUGCUCUUCCUAACUAAGGCCUUGAUGCCGAUUCUACCUGAGGCCCUAAAACUGUCUGUAACUAAUGACCUGACUCUUUCCCUAACUAACACCCUAAUUUUGUCCCUCAUUAAUGCCCUGACACUGGUCAACACUACAGCCCCGAUGCUGGCCCAAUCUAAGGUCUUGACAAUGUCCCUAAUAGCCUUACAUGUCCCUCACUGUUGGCCUGACCCUGUCCCUAACCAAGGCCCUGACCCUCUUCCUAACUAAGGCUGUGAUGAUGUCUCUACCUGAGGCAUUGACACUGUCUAUAAUAAUGGCCGACUCUUUCCCCAACACCCCGAUGCUGUCCCUAAUAGCCUCAUGUAUCUCUCAAUAAUGCCCUAAUCCUGUCCAUAACUAAGGCCAUGAAUAUGUCCUUAAGUCUCUGACGCUGUCCUUAACUAAGUCCCUGAUGCUCUCUCUACCUAAGGCACUGACACUAUCUAUAAUAAUGGCCUGACUCCUUCCCUAACUAACACCCUGAUGCUAUCCCUAAUUGAGGCCCUGAAGAUGUCCCUAAUACCCUUAGGUGUUCCUCAGUAUCACCCUGAUUCUGUCCAUAAUUAAGGCCCUGAAUAGGUCCCUAGGUAAGUCUCUGACGCUAUCCCUAAUUAAGGCCCUGAUGCUGCCUCUACCUCAGAAUCUGACAUUCUAAUGUCCUGACUCUCCCUAACUAACAUCCUGAUGCUGCCCCUAAGUGAGGCCCUGACACUCUUCUUAACUAAGGACUUGCUGCUGUCCCUACCUAAAACCCUGACACUAUCUGUAACUAAUGACCUGACUCCUUCCCUAACUAACACCCUAGUUUUGGCCCUAACUAACGCCCUGACACUGAUUUUAAUUAUGACCAUGAUGCUGGCUCUAAGGCCCUGAAUAUAUCCCUAAGUAACAGCCUGAAUUUUGUCUAACUAAGGCUCUCACGUUAUCUCUAACUUAGGCCCUGACGCUGUCCCUUAUAGUCUAAGCUGUCACUAAAUAAUGCCCUGAUCCUAUCCACAACUAAAGCCCUGAAUAUGUCCCUAAGUACAUCUCUGAUGAUGUCCCUAACAGCCUGAACUGUCUCUUCAACUUAUCUCUGAGGCUCUGACCACUGGCCCUUCCUAAGGCCUCACCCCGGGGUUGUCCCAGGCUGCUGGGCAGUCUUCUCUUGUCCGCAUCUCUAGCCGGCUGCCUGCCAUUGGCCACUCUAAGAUCCUGCGAUGCAGUGGUCCCACGUGGGAUGUGCCUGUGUAGGCUCACCUGCGGGAGGAGAGUCAUGGCCACUCCGCCCUGCAGGAGACUGCAGCUCAGGGUAGGAAUCUCUCAGCCAGUGUCUGGACACAGGGUUCUGUGUCCUUGUUUGUUGUAAAUCCCUUGCAGUUACCUCUAACAUUUUUUAAAUGGAUCUCCCCCUCAGCAUAUUUAUGAUUUAAAUUAUUUACCACAUUAAAAUUCAGGAAUGACAUUGUUAGAAUGAGCAGGAAGACACCGGACGCCCCCCCCCCACCAUGAUCUAUUACUUGGAGGAUUUAACAUUCUAAUGAGAAAACACUCACUCUCCUCAUCCUCUUGGGCGUCAGCACAAGGCGGGAAUCAGCUGCAUUCUUUAUUUAUCCCUCUGAUUUUCCAGAACAUUUCCUUCAAGGAGAAAUCUCUGGGCUCUGCGGUAACUGUGAGUGGUGACCAUCAGGUAAAUCUGAGACUGAAAAGCAAAAGGAAAAGAGAUAGAGGAGGAGAUGAGAACUGGUGAUGGGGAGAAGCAGGGGCAUCCACGUUCAAUCUCAGGCUGAGAGUCUGGGUUAAUCUCCAACGAACCUAAGGACCACCAGGAGCUGGCCCCACUGGCCUUGUCACCUGGUGUGGGGAUUGGGGACAGCCAAACCACCAUGGCCACUCUCAGAGAAAUAAAGAAGGUGGGAGGGCACCCCUGGGAGCCAGAUUGAAAAUGGUCAUGCUGUGAAAUAAUAAGAUGCCCUUUUCAGAAAAGUGAAGACUCUUCUCUUGGUUCUCAAAGACUUGCAAAUACUCUGUGUGCUUCUGGAGGCAUGCUGAAGCCUUCAGCCUUUGAGGGCACUAAUGGGAGGGAAUGUGGGCUCAAAACUAUCCAGCACUCACUCCUUGAGGGUGCGGACGAUGACCAGUGUCCACCCCUUGGAUGCUGUGGGGCCUGAAAUCCCCUUAUCACCUAGGACGGGAGGGGCCGCACAGACACCCCACUGGACCACCGGGGGCUUGGCUGGUGGGCUACAGUCCUUUAUCAGAUACAUGGUUUGCAAACAUCUUGUGCCAUUUUAGAUGGUGGAUUAUCUUAUUCCUUGCUCCUUUUAUACACAACUGU